UCCAUGUUCUGAUGGUUAAGUGCUGUUGCCUGACCUUUGCUAUUUCUGCAUUCUCUCAUUCCCAUGGAUACCAGAGAGCCCAGUUCCAUAAUCACCUCCUCUAUCUAUCCUGGCAGAGAGAGAACUACCAACUUCAGUGAGAAUGGCACCCCCUCUUAUGCUUUUUGUUUUGGGAGAAGGAGCAGCCCGAGGGUCAUCCUAGAAAACAAAGUUAUUGGUUCCUCUGUUCAUCUAAUUAAGCCAUCCAGGCCACCUACCAGCCUUUCCAUCCCCAUUGAUCAGGAUGGCAUCAUGUAAUCAUGCCCAAGGAUACUGGUAAUACUGGGCCAUGGAGUGAAUCCAUGCUUGCGUAGGAAUGGGACCAUCAGUACCAGGUGAUGAGACAGCAAUAGGAGACCAUCAUUUCUCUAAGAGUGGGAUGACCUGGAGAAAGAACCAACAUUGAUUCUCCUUGAGGUCUGGGUAACUAAACUCAUCCUCAACAGGGAACAAUCCCAGACAACAUCUGCUUGGAGACAUCAAAACUAAGAAGUAGAAUGGAUAGCAAGAGCUGAAUCAUCUUGGUGGUCACAGGAUAGCAAGCAGGAAGAUGUUCUUCCUGAGGCGACCCACCUCUUGUAAACCAGUGAAGGGGAGAAACGUGGGCCUGGGCCUUCUGGCCAAGUCUGAGGACCCUGAUGGACAACAUUCACGCUACAGCUCCCCUUGUCAGGUUGGCUCAGGCUUUGACCUGCUCCAGUGCUGACUUCUCCAUCUGCCCAAUCUGCUUUCUCCCUGUUCCUUUCACAGGUAGCAUACAGGCACACUGAAAGGGAUAUGACUGAUGGAGAUCUUCUGCAUCCUUUACGACUUUGAGGAAACCAUUCUACCCAGAUACCAUAGCCACCUUGGUUUCCUGUCUUGGGCAAGGUAGUUUUAUGGGUUUCUCCUUGCUGUUUCCUGCCUUAGGAAUUCUUAUUCUACUCUUAGGUCAUGAAUAAAUGAGAUCUUUGCUAACUUCCAAGUGUGUCCAGUCCAUUCAGACAUUUAGCCAAUGGAAUGACCAUCAAGUAGAUGUAGAGACUCACAGGAUGGACUGCAAGACCUACUUGGGAGAGAACUUUGACUUCGCACACUCUAAUAGGAACAUCAUGAGGGGGUCUGGGCCCUUCAUAUAAGUAACAUAUCCAACCCUGUACACAGCAGCUUC
This is a non-coding RNA of Callithrix jacchus (white-tufted-ear marmoset), 1189 nucleotides long. The record is from RefSeq and is a predicted model, not a curated record. NCBI's taxonomy places the organism in Eukaryota, Metazoa, Chordata, Mammalia, Primates, Cebidae.